UACGUAGGGUGCAAGCGUUAAUCGGAAUUACUGGGCGUAAAGCGUGCGCAGGCGGUUGUGCAAGACAGAUGUGAAAUCCCCGGGCUUAACCUGGGAAUGGCAUUGGUGACUGCACGGCUAGAGUGUGUCAGAGGGGGGUAGAAUUUCACGUGUAGCAGUGAAAUGCGUAGAGAUGUGGAGGAAUACCGAUGGCGAAGGCAGCCCCCUGGGAUAACACUGACGCUCAUGCACGAAAGCGUGGGGAGCAAACAGG
Molecule: ribosomal RNA, 253 nt
Filed under: uncultured bacterium
Lineage: Bacteria
Description: partial 16S ribosomal RNA
Rfam family: Bacterial small subunit ribosomal RNA
Source: RNAcentral